Molecule: ribosomal RNA, 508 nt
Filed under: uncultured bacterium
Lineage: Bacteria
Description: partial 16S ribosomal RNA
Rfam family: Bacterial small subunit ribosomal RNA
Source: RNAcentral
AUUGGACGCUGGCGGCAUGCCUUACACAUGCAAGUCGAACGGCAGCGGGGGAGAAGCUUGCUUUUCCUGCCGGCGGGUGGCGAACGGGUGAGUAAUACAUCGGAACGUGCCCUGUAGUGGGGGAUAACUAGUCGAAAGAUUAGCUAAUACCGCAUACGACCUGAGGGUGAAAGUGGGGGACCGCAAGGCCUCAUGCUAUAGGAGCGGCCGAUGUCGGAUUAGCUAGUUGGAGGGGUAAAGGCCUACCAAGGCGACGAUCAGUAGCUGGUCUGAGAGGACGAUCAGCCACACUGGGACUGAGACACGGCCCAGACUCCUACGGGAGGCAGCAGUGGGGAAUUUUGGACAAUGGGCGAAAGCCUGAUCCAGCAAUGCCGCGUGUGUGAAGAAGGCCUUCGGGUUGUAAAGCACUUUUGUCCGGAAAGAAAUGGCUCUGGUUAAUACCUGGGGUCGAUGACGGUACCGGAAGAAUAAGGACCGGCUAACUACGUGCCAGCCGCCGCAGUAA